RNAcentral lists this ribosomal RNA (254 nucleotides) under uncultured bacterium. Its description in RNAcentral is "partial 16S ribosomal RNA". It matches the Rfam family "Bacterial small subunit ribosomal RNA", at positions 524 to 776 of the family's 1533-position model. The record is from RNAcentral.
UACGUAGGGGGCGAGCGUUGUCCGGAUUUAUUGGGCGUAAAGAGCUCGUAGGCGGUUUGGUAAGUCGGGUGUGAAAUCUCCACGCUCAACGUGGAGGGGCCACUCGAUACUGCCAUGACUCGAGUCCGGUAGAGGAGUGUGGAAUUCCCGGUGUAGCGGUGAAAUGCGCAGAUAUCGGGAGGAACACCCGUAGCGAAGGCGGCUUGCUGGGUCUGUAUUGACGCUCAGACACGAAAGCAUGGGGAGCGAACGGG